Nicotiana tabacum (common tobacco) is the source of this 1420-nucleotide long non-coding RNA. RefSeq lists it as uncharacterized. The record is from RefSeq and is a predicted model, not a curated record. NCBI's taxonomy places the organism in Eukaryota, Viridiplantae, Streptophyta, Magnoliopsida, Solanales, Solanaceae.
GCUUUGCGAGCGUGAUUGUUAAUAUUUGUAGAAGCAACUCUUUAUAAGCGCGCCGUAAAAUAUUUUCUACAAAUUCCCGCUAUAAUUUCCCCCUAAAACUUUUAGUGAAAAACUAUGCCCUAAAAUAUUCGCUAAAACCUGUCUCUGAUAUUUACAAGAAAAUCUCCGUUUUUUCUUCCUUAAAAUUCUAUCACAAAAGUUGAGGGCUCUUCUCGUAUCUUUUAGCAGAUUGAUUGAAGUAAAUUAGAGUGAGUUGAGAUAAUUAUGUUGGGUUCUGUGUAAAUCACUUAUGGAGGUGCUAAACUUUGUCUCGAUUGUGUGCCAUCCGAUUCAAAUGGAAUCUUAUUGUUUAGGGUUUAAUAUCGUUUCUCAAAAUAUGGAUAAGAUGACUGCUAAUUUUGAAAUUAAGCUCUAUUAUUUUGUGAUGGAAGUUUAUUAUUCUUGAAAGGGCUUACAGCCGCUUCCAAAAACUUGGGUAAGACUACUGCUAAGUUUGAAGUUAAGCUCUGUUAUUUCGUGAUGGAGGUUAUUAUUCUUGAAAGUUUUGUGCCUGUUCUCUAGGUGGUGGAAGUAAUUGUAGAUUGAGGAUUAUUCAUCUGAUAUGUGUGCUUCUUUACUCGCCUAUUGAGCGUUCAAAUGAACUACUUGAGUAUUCAGUUGACAGAGUUGAAAUAGUUGGGUACGAGAUCUGGAUGGAAAUUUGAUGCAUCUAUUAAAGGAGAAACGGGUGCAUAACUUUCAUCUUCUUGAAUGGCAAUCUUCAGAUUUCUAGCAGUUUUAACUCCCCAAGGGAUACAAGAUGACUCAAGGUUCAAGGAUCCGAUCCUUCAAUGUCACGACCCAAAAUUACGCCUGUCGUGAUGACGCCUAUCUUAAUACCAGGCAAGCUGACAACCUUAAUAAACCAAAAUUUCUUUUAAGUUUGAAAAUAUAAUAUUUAAAUUCAAUAUAAAAAUUUCACAAAUACCGACAUAAAUACUCCCAAAAUCCGGUGUCACUGAGUACAUGAGCAUCUAAAUGAUAACAAAGUCUGACUGCUAAAAACGUUGCUUAAAAAUAUAGAACAGUACAAAAAUUGAAAGGAAAGAGAGUUAAGGUCUUCAAAUGUCAAGUAACUAUCUCGAUAAUUUCCAACAGAUAAAACUCCGAGAAACUAGCAACCACUGUGUUCGAAAGUACCUGGAUCUCCAUACGAGGUGCAGGGUAUAGUAUGAGUACAACUAACUCAGCAAGUAACAAUACUAAAUAAAGAACUGAAAGUAUUGACGAGCUUCACAGCUAAGUCUAAUAACUGUAAAGCACAAAUUGAGCAGUAAAUGGGAGAACAUGGCUGUAAUACUCAAUACGACCGGCCGAGUCGUCCCAUCUAUGCACUUUCGUAGAGAUUUUGAUACCGGCUCAGGUUGAUCGAGAUUUGCUA